This 787-nucleotide ribosomal RNA is filed under the name human gut metagenome. RNAcentral's name for it is "bacterial SSU rRNA". It matches the Rfam family "Bacterial small subunit ribosomal RNA", at positions 100 to 905 of the family's 1533-position model. The record is from RNAcentral.
GACGGGUGAGUAACGCGUGGGUAACCUGCCUCAUACACACGGAUAACAUACCGAAAGGUAUGCUAAUACAAGAUGAUAUAAGAGAUUCGCAUGGUUUUCUUAUCAAAGCUCCGGCGGUAUGAGAUGGACCCGCGUCUGAUUAGCUAGUUGGUAAGGUAACGGCUUACCAAGGCGACGAUCAGUAGCCGACCUGAGAGGGUGAUCGGCCACAUUGGAACUGAGACACGGUCCAAACUCCUACGGGAGGCAGCAGUGGGGAAUAUUGCACAAUGGGCGAAAGCCUGAUGCAGCAACGCCGCGUGAGCGAUGAAGGCCUUCGGGUCGUAAAGCUCUGUCCUCAAGGAAGAUAAUGACGGUACUUGAGGAGGAAGCCCCGGCUAACUACGUGCCAGCAGCCGCGGUAAUACGUAGGGGGCUAGCGUUAUCCGGAAUUACUGGGCGUAAAGGGUGCGUAGGUGGUUUCUUAAGUCAGAGGUGAAAGGCUACGGCUCAACCCCGGUAGUAAGCCUUUGAAACUGGGAAACUUGAGUGCAGGAGAGGAGAGUGGAAUUCCUAGUGUAGCGGUGAAAUGCGUAGAUAUUAGGAGGAACACCAGUUGCGAAGGCGGCUCUCUGGACUGUAACUGACACUGAGGCACGAAAGCGUGGGGAGCAAACAGGAUUAGAUACCCUGGUAGUCCACGCCGUAAACGAUGAGUACUAGCUGUCGGAGGUUACCCCCUUCGGUGGCGCAGCUAACGCAUUAAGUACUCCGCCUGGGAAGUACGCUCGCAAGAGUGAAACUCAAA